GGGGGGGGGGGGGGGGGGGGGGGAGACGGGGGGGGCGGGGGGGCGGGCGAGGGGGUGGCUGCUGUGGUGUUGGCGGCGGACGGGUGAGUAACGCGGGGAUAACCUACCUAUAAGACUGGGAUAACUUCGGGAAACCGUAGCUAGUACCGGAUAAUAUUUUGAACCGCAUGGUUCAAAAGUGAAAGACGGUCUUGAUGUCACUUAUAGAUGGAUCCGCGCUGCAUUAGCUAGUUGGUAAGGUAACGGCUUACCAAGGCAACUAUGCAUCGCCGACCUGAGAGGGUGAUCGGCCACACUGGAACUGAGACACGGUCCAGACUCCUACGGGAGGCAGCAGUAGGGAAUCUUCCGCAAUGGGCGAAAGCCUGACGGAGCAACGCCGCGUGAGUGAUGAAGGUCUUCGGAUCGUAAAACUCUGUUAGUAGGGAAGAACAUAUGUGUAAGUAACUGUGCACAUCUUGACGGUACCUAAUCAGAAAGCCACGGCUAACUACGUG
RNAcentral lists this ribosomal RNA (497 nucleotides) under uncultured bacterium. RNAcentral's name for it is "partial 16S ribosomal RNA". It matches the Rfam family "Bacterial small subunit ribosomal RNA", at positions 27 to 507 of the family's 1533-position model. The record is from RNAcentral.